RNAcentral lists this ribosomal RNA (370 nucleotides) under uncultured organism. RNAcentral describes it as "partial 16S ribosomal RNA". It matches the Rfam family "Bacterial small subunit ribosomal RNA", at positions 527 to 896 of the family's 1533-position model. The record is from RNAcentral.
GUAGGAGGCAAGCGUUGUCCGGAAUUACUGGGCGUAAAGGGUGUGUAGGCGGGACGGUAAGUCGGGCGUGAAAUCCCACGGCUCAACCGUGGAACUGCGUUCGAUACUGCCGACCUUGAGUACGGGAUAGGAGAGUGGAACUCACGGUGUAGCGGUAAAAUGCGUAGAUAUCGUGAGGAACACCGGUGGCGUAGGCGGCUCUCUGGCCCGAUACUGACGCUGAGACACGAAAGCCAGGGUAGCGAACGGGAUUAGAUACCCCGGUAGUCCUGGCCGUAAACGAUGGGCACUAGGUGUGGGAGCAUCGACCCCUUCGUGCCGAAGCUAACGCAUUAAGUGCCCCCGCCUGGGGAGUACGAUCGCAAGGUUG